Gallus gallus (chicken) is the source of this 2650-nucleotide long non-coding RNA. NCBI's taxonomy places the organism in Eukaryota, Metazoa, Chordata, Aves, Galliformes, Phasianidae. The record is from Ensembl.
UUGGUAGCUAUUAAGCUGGGUUGAGAUUAAGAUGCUCACUGCAUCUCCAAACGUGAUGAAAAUCAAACCCCACUCCUUUACGAUGCCUCCCGGGGGGGGAUUUUCACACUCAGGAGUUUGUACACUAAAACUGAUAUCCUGACCUAAGUGCUGUUCUAGCUCGCCUUACUAUAAAUCAGAAGCAGCUCUCUGGUGCACAUGAACUCACAGUCAGAGCAUUUAUUUGUUAGGAGGGUGGAUUAACAAAGGCGUGGGCAGAACCCAGGAAAGAGAAAGGGGCCAUAAAGCAGAAAAGUGAUGGAGCCAGGCGCACACGGGAUACCGUGUCCCCAAAUAGUUUGGCGUCAAAUAACAAAAAUAGCUAUAACUUCAUUCCCUUAAUGUGCCCAUUAGUCUAAGUAAGACCUUUCUUUGGUUCGUGCCUGAACCUGGCUGUUUCUCUGCAACCUGCAAUUUAAUCUUCUGCGAAUGUAAUACCCUAAACGUAAUCAUCUGUGAAAUUAAAACAUAAUCAGCUCUCCGUUAUUAGGGGAAGUGGGGAGCUGCAAAAUUGAAAGAAGGAAAACCUGGCUGAUGGAAGUGGUUCUGGGCCCAAGAUGGCCCUGGAAGAAUCCCAGUCCUUUCCAGAAGCGAUGUGCUCUGUGCUCUGGCAGGAGAGUCCCCUCAGUCAGGCUGGGAGGUGCAGAACCGGUGUAGGCACCGCUACAUGCAUAGCAUGGCUUAUUCACAACGUGGGUAACAAACCCAGGAAUAAUGGAGAAUAAAUUCUGCUUUGUUUCUUCGUUUGCUUUGCUGUAACUGAAACAAAAUAGGUGUUUAAAUUAAUGUUAAUAAAACAUUUUGAAGCGAGAGUGUUACGAAGGUGCUGCAAGCAGCAAUAAAAUCACCACGAAAUUACAAACAUGAUUUCAUGAAGAAUAAGACAUCAGCUCUGAAAUAGGAUUGAAGCAGCAGAAGUAUCCAGUUGCAGGAAUAAAAGACUUCAUCUAGCAAGAAUGGCAACACCGCACUCCUUAACGCACGGUAGAGGCAGGCAGGAAAGCACUCUCUCACUUCACUUCCAAAACUAAUGAAGAAAAGUGCCCACAAGCUCCAGGGGAGGGAAAAAAGGAUGAAAAACAGGCAGAUUCAGAUAAUUAAAAUGUUAGUUUUUCUUAAAUGACGUCAAACCCUAUUCCCAGAGCUGGCUGUUCAUGUCUGCCUGUUCUCUCCAGUCACGGGUUGGAUAGAGGAGCUGGAGGCUGAAGCAGAACUUCCCAGUGCUGAGUACACGCAGUCUGCCUUUCAGAGAACUGUCCUUGAUCCAGCUCAGGAAAGGGUGCCAGUACGCUCAGCAUCUGAAACACCUCGGUCGUCUAGCUUCCAUCUGUCUCGGUGAUGUCUAAAUGUGUCUGCACUGAACAUUUCCAGACCUGUGUUCAAUUCAUCUGAUUCCAAGUGUCUUCCUUCGGCCACUUUUGGUGCGGAUCAGCCAGCGUCCCAUUUAUGUUUUGAAAAACUACCCUGACCCCUUAACUUCAGUCCGAAAGAAAGUACUCUUUGAACGCUAGCUCCACACGCAAAGGAAGUUCUUAAUAUUACUGUAAAUGGAACCCAUCUCCACACGUGGCAUCUCAGACCUGUGGGUGCAUGGCAUACUGGAGAUUUACCCCAGAAAACGCAGGCAGAGCCAUUGCGACUCAGCAGUGAAGGUCACAGACCUGCUCUCCAGACCUUGACCUCAGCUGACUGAGCAAAUUGCCAACAGACCAGAGAAGUGGAGAGCGGGGGGAAGGGGUCAGCAGACGUUGGAGACAGAUGGCCCAAUUCAUCAUCCACCAGAAAUAAAUUAAAAAAUAAAAAUAAAAAGCUGCUCCAAGCGUUAUACACGCAGUGGUGAUUGUAAAUUCCACAACUGUGGAGGGCUGCCAAGCCAUUAUACACAUACCAAUACUGCAGUCUCUGUGCAUAACUCCAGAAAGGUGAAGUCAGGAGAAGCUGCAAAGCAUAAAGCGUGUUUAGCUCUCAGGAAAUCGGUUUGUAAAAUGAUUAUCCAAGCCCUGGUGGAACGAAAAGCAUGUAGAAGUUAGGGACUAAUAGGAUACUAUGGCUUGUACAUAGACAAUGCAUUUGCACAAUGCAUAAUUUAGUUAUCCAUGGAUGUGACUGUUGAUAUUAUAGUUAUUUAUCUUCUUCUAACACUAUUUUUGUUUGAGUUUUACUCUUGACAGUUUCCCAGUUUGAGCUGUCAGGCUGUGUGUCCUGCUAAAUAUGGUACUUUGGUCAGAAGGCAGAGUGCCUCAGGAGCCAGCAAUGCUCUAUGACACCACUGGAAGGAAGGAAGGGUGUGCAGAGCAGGAGGGGUUUCCCCAGAUCGCCUUCCUUGGUUUCACUGCAAUGAAGUGAAAGAAGGAUCUACCUUGGGUUUUUGUAAAUACACUGACAGCAAAGAGAGAGUUGCAUUGGUGUUGGUGCUGUUGGUAGCACUACUGAAUGCUCCGGGUGGUUUUCCAAGCACAAUUUCCCCACGGGUGGAGAUAACAGCAGCCAUCAGAUUGCUCAAUGUCACAAAGCAAGCGCUGGGAAAUCUCCGUCACAGCCUUUGUGCAGCUUUCAGCUCUCUUUCCACGCAGGCCAAUAUCUAUGCACAACACAACAAAGAGUUAUUAAU